AGACAAUAGAUACCCGGGUAGUCCACGCCGUAAACGAUGAGUGCUAAGUGUUAGAGGGUUUCCGCCCUUUAGUGCUGCAGCUAAACGCAUUAAGCACUCCGCCUGGGGAGUACGGCCGCAAGGCUGAAACUCAAAGGAAUCGACGGGGGCCCGCACAAGCGGUGGAGCAUGUGGUUUAAUUCGAAGCAACGCGAAGAACCUUACCAGGUCUUGACAUCCUCUGACAAUCCUGGAGACAGGACGUUCCCCUUCGGGGGACAGAGUGACAGGUGGUGCAUGGUUGUCGUCAGCUCGUGUCGUGAGAUGUUGGGUUAAGUCCCGCAACGAGCGCAACCCUUGAUCUUAGUUGCCAGCAUUCAGUUGGGCACUCUAAGGUGACUGCCGGUGACAAACCGGAGGAAGGUGGGGAUGACGUCAAAUCAUCAUGCCCCUUAUGACCUGGGCUACACACGUGCUACAAUGGAUGGUACAAAGGGCAGCGAAGCCGCGAGGUGGAGCCAAUCCCAUAAAA
This 511-nucleotide ribosomal RNA is filed under the name uncultured bacterium. RNAcentral's name for it is "bacterial SSU rRNA". It matches the Rfam family "Bacterial small subunit ribosomal RNA", at positions 775 to 1281 of the family's 1533-position model. The record is from RNAcentral.